This 737-nucleotide ribosomal RNA is filed under the name uncultured bacterium. Its description in RNAcentral is "bacterial SSU rRNA". It matches the Rfam family "Bacterial small subunit ribosomal RNA", at positions 20 to 770 of the family's 1533-position model. The record is from RNAcentral.
UGGCUCAGGACGAACGCUGGCGGCGCGCCUAACACAUGCAAGUCGAACGUGAGAUGAGGAGCUUGUUCUUCAAAUCGAGUGGCGAACGGGUGAGUAACGCGUGAGGAACCUGCCUCAAAGAGGGGGACAACAGUUGGAAACGACUGCUAAUACCGCAUAAGCCCACAGCUCGGCAUCGAGCAGAGGGAAAAGGAGCGAUCCGCUUUGAGAUGGCCUCGCGUCCGAUUAGCUAGUUGGUGAGGUAACGGCCCACCAAGGCGAUGAUCGGUAGCCGGACUGAGAGGUUGAACGGCCACAUUGGGACUGAGACACGGCCCAGACUCCUACGGGAGGCAGCAGUGGGGAAUAUUGCACAAUGGGGGAAACCCUGAUGCAGCGACGCCGCGUGGGGGAAGAAGGUCUUCGGAUUGUAAACUCCUGUUGUUGAGGAAGAUAAUGACGGUACUCAACAAGGAAGUGACGGCUAACUACGUGCCAGCAGCCGCGGUAAAACGUAGGUCACAAGCGUUGUCCGGAAUUACUGGGUGUAAAGGGAGCGCAGGCGGGAGAACAAGUUGGAAGUGAAAUCCAUGGGCUCAACCCAUGAACUGCUUUCAAAACUGUUUUUCUUGAGUAGUGCAGAGGUAGGCGGAAUUCCCGGUGUAGCGGUGGAAUGCGUAGAUAUCGGGAGGAACACCAGUGGCGAAGGCGGCCUACUGGGCACCAACUGACGCUGAGGCUCGAAAGUGUGGGUAGCA